Molecule: long non-coding RNA, 7930 nt
Filed under: Sus scrofa (pig)
Lineage: Eukaryota; Metazoa; Chordata; Mammalia; Artiodactyla; Suidae
Description: lncRNA (ENSSSCG00015008113.1)
Source: RNAcentral
GUAGGUCACAGAUGCAGCUCAGAUCCGGAGUUGCUAUGGCUGUGACAGAGGCUGGCAUCUGUAGCUUCCAUUCGACCCCUAGCCUAUGAACUUCCAUGUGCUGUGGGUGUGGCCCUAAAAAAAAAAGACAAAAAAAAAAAAAAAGAAAUUAAACCAAACAAUUCAAAAUUAUUCUACUGCCUGCUUCUUUCUCACUCCAUAGUAUGCAAAUGUCGGAAGGUUGAAGUGACAGAAAUUAUAGAUUGCCUGAUUUCUUUAGAUAUCAGGAGCUGUGAGAUUCCAGAGGAGCAUAGGAUCCCUCACCCCAGGACUGAAUCUUAAUUAAUCUAACCAAAUCCCAGUCAUUUGUUGCCCUGAUUGCCACUGAUUCAUUUAAGAGAGAGGAAUGUGAUGCAAUUCUUGCCAGUGAUUUGAAGGUCCUCAGCUGGAGGCUUCUAAAAAAGUUAUUCUUGCUCUUAAAAGACACUUAAGGACAAAUUCUCCCUUCUUUUACCUUUUGUGAUUAAGCCAUGGCUAGAGCUGCUGCAGCUGAGUUGUAGUCAUAAGGCAAGUCCGUAUGCUAAGGACAGCUGAGCAGAAAGGUAGAAAAUACUUGAGUCCUCAUAGCUGUGACCUGGCAAUUGAAGUAACUCACACGGAAAUUACCCCGCUUCUACAGUUCUCAGGUUUUCUGCUGGCUGUGAUUUUUAGAUUAUUUGUACUUUAUUGUUUUUCUUUGUUAUAAUAAAAUAGUCUGGCACAAUGUGACACAUUAGCAAUACUGUGAUUUGAUGUUUCCUGAUGGCCUACCAGUUAAGGAUUUGGCAUUGUCAUUGCUGUGGCUCAGGUUCAAUCACUGGCCCAGGAACUUCCACAUGCCACAAGGGCAGCCAUCCCCCCUACACAAAAUACUAUGAUUCAGUGGAUAUAAAUAGAAUUUAGAGGCCAAGGACCUGAGUUUGAAUUCUGAUGCUAAGUUUCUCACUUGGAGAACUUGAGUCAGUUACUUAAUUCUGUUCAUUGUUCAUUCAGUCAGUAAGUUAGACGACAAACAAUUUUUUUUUUUUUUCUUUUUAGGGCUGCACCUGCAGUAUAUGAAAGUUCCCAGGCUAGGGGUUGAAUCAGAGCUGCAGCUGUAGGCCUAUACCACAGCCACAGCCAUGCAGGAUCCAAGCCAUAUCUGUGACUUUUAUCAUAGCUCAUAGCAAUACCAGAUCCUUUAACCCAUUGAAUGUGGUUGGGGAUCAAACCUGCAUCUUCAUGGAUAUAAGUUGGGUUCAUUUUCUGCUGAGCCACAAGGGGAACUUCAGGCUACAAACAAUUAUUGGCUCUAUAUUCUGCCCUCACUUCUGUAGUGCUCAAGGGCAAAGAGAAAGACACACAGAGCAAUAAAAGAAGCAGGCAGCUUGGACUGCUCUGAGCUCUAAUAUAUUGCUCUGAGAAAGAGAGCAUGCUCAUCUUCUUGUCUAAGGCCACUGAUUUCUGGGUUCUCUUCCAAGUAGUGAAUCUGAACAGCUGAUACCAACUGGGUGGAUGCAUAACUAAGUGACUCAUUUUUCAGGAGUGACUCCUAGCAUUCGGUAGGAGAGGUGAAACUCAAUAAUGUCUAGAACAUCCCUCAAACAACCCCGUUCAAGUUAAGCUUUCUGUACAUAAUGGGUUUUUCUCCAGUUGUGUGCUGGAGCUAUCCAUACAGACAAGGGAUUGUACAUCCAUCAGGACUUUUUCUCUUUUGUGUUCAUUUUUUCUCAAGCAAGCCAGUCACAUUUCAUUCAAUAGCCUCAUCAGUUAUCUGUAGCAAAAAGCCAGUCAAAUGCCCCUCAGAUUGUCUCAGAAGUUGGAAACAGCUAGACUUUAUGGAUUCCACAUUUCUUUUAUCCACUGUUACUUUAUGGUCAUUAUUUUUUUAAUGGGGAUCUUAUCACCAGGACAACUAAGAAUGGAAUGUGUGCAGUUAGCUUGCUCAGAUUCCUUCUGUGUUUUUGUCUUUCUGCAUUAUUGUGGCUAAAAGAAGGCAAGAAAUUCCAUUUUUAUUAUCUUGUCUCUCUCAGAUUGGUCUUUUACAGUUUCACUCUGUCUCCAUGCGUGGUUGAUUUGCACAUAGUCUUCUUUCUACUAUUUAUCUUUUAUCAUGCCUCAAAAAAUAGCAUCCUCAAUAAUGGCAUUGGUCAUCAUAAAGACUCUAAAGAAAUCUAUUAGUUUAUUAUAAGAGUUCAGGAGGUACACAUGUGAGGGUGUGUUGCUAAUUGUCAAUUACUUUUUAGCUACUAAUUUUAACUGUUGAUAGCUAAGCUUAACUACUGAGAAGUCCUUAAAAAUAAUAGAACACUCAUAGCUAAUGGCAUCAAGUUUUAAUAGAAAAGGCUUAUUUUUAUUUCAAAUAUAUGUCUUAUAGUCUUCUAUGUUAAAUCAAAAUAUACAUAGGGGAGUUCCCAUUGUGGCUCAGUGGUAACAAACCUGACUAGUAUACAUAAUGAUAUGGGUUCAAUCCCUGGCCUCUCUCAGUGGGUUAAGGAUCCAGUGUUGCCGUGAGCUGUGGUGUAGUUUGCGGAAGCAGCUCGGAUCCCAUGUUACUGGCUGUGGUGUAGGCCUGCAGUUACAGCUCCCAUUCAACCCUUAGCCUGGGAACUUACAUAUGCCAUGGGUGUUGCCCUAAAAAGACACAAAAAAUGUGUAUAUAUAUAUAUAUACACAUAGGAAGGAAAAUAUAAAAAUAUUUCUCAGAUUUUAGAAAUGUAGCUGGCAGAAUGCUAAAUGUUUUAAGUUGUCUUUAAUGUCACACAAUGUAAAAUAGUAUAUUCAAUUCACUCCUAGGUAUCCAAAAGAAAUGAAAAUAGAGACCCUGAUACUUGUAUGCUAACGUUAUUAGCAGCAUUAUUCACAAUAGACAAUAAGUGGAAACAACCCAAGCUCCAUCAAUAGAUGAACAGAUAAAUAAAAUGUGGUAAAUAGAUACAAUAGAAUAUUAUGCAGGCAUGAAAAGAAUGAAGUUCUGAAUCACUCAAUAACAUGGAUGGACCUUGAAAUAGUAUUUUAAGUAAAAUAACCUAGAUACAAAAGAACAAAUAGUUGAUUUUGUUUGGAUGGUUAUACUUAUACAAAAUAUCUAGAAAAAGGCAAAUUGAUAGAAAGAAGACAUUAUCAGGGACAGAGGGUUGGGGAGAAUGGGCAGUUGUUGCAUAACAGGUGAAGAAGUUUUCUUUGGGGUUGUAAAAACUUUUGGAACUAGACAAUGGUGAUGGUGGUACAACAUUAUGAGUGUAAUUAAUGCCGUGGAAUGGCACAGCUAAAAAUGGUUACCAUGGCAAAUUUUACAUUGCAUAUAUGUUACUACCAAAACAAAAUAAAACAAUAGUAUGUUUGGUUAGAUGUAUUUAUUUGAAAGGAUUUUAUGGGAUUUCAGAUUUUACUUGUAAGGUGGUUUUUGUUAGUCUAAUGAGUCACAUGCACAUAAAAUCCACAGUUCAUCUUAAAGGGAGAUAAAAAUAUUCUAACCCAUAGAAGUUUAAUCAUUCUCUUACCUCUUCUGCUUUAACUAAAAACAGACAUGUCUAUAUUUUUCUGAUCGGAAGUUGGGACCCUUUACAGUAAUAAGUUUCAACUCUUAGUUUAAUUUUCUUGCUUGUGACCUCAGAUUUUUUUUUCCCCUAAAAACUGUAGAGUUAAGCUCUAGAGAGAAAGUAUUUUAAAAUAUUAAUUUGUUCUACCCUUGCAUUAUAAGGAUGAGUUAAGCAGAAUACAAAAAGGACAAAUGGUCCACUUGGCUGGACCAGAGGAACUCAGCCUAACAGAGGCAAGCUAGGUGUUAGUGAUUAAUAUAUGAGGCUCCAAUAAUUUCUCUUCUCUUAUCGAAGUGAAUAUUUUCUCAGCUGACCUUUUUCUGUAUUUGAGAUCUUCUAUGCUGGGGCAGCAUAUUUAGAUCCUACUUCUCCCUAUCAGCAAAUAUUAGCCUGAGAUUUAGUCAUGAUUAUAUUGUCUCUCAGCGUGAACCUAGUAACCAACCUCUAUACUGCACCCAACCCCCACUGAAAAGUAAAGUCGGCUUUGCCAAAAUUCCAAAGAUAACCUUCAUGGUCACAUUAGUGAGAAACGCAAGGACUUACAACUUGGAUUUUGGAAGAGGAGAUGGGUGGGAUGCCUGUAAUGAGAAUAACCCAAUAGGAACCCUGAGAAAUCCUGACUCAUGAGGAAUAGGGACAGCCCAGCUGAAGCCCCACCAUGAACAAUUUUAUCCUCUACAAGGAUUUCCACUACUGGAGUGAGGACAUAGGGAGUGGUUUGGAAGGUCAUUAGAAGUGAGCUAUAAGGUUACCAGGGCAAGCUCAAUCCUUGUGGCUCUUAAGAAUCUGUAUGAUGCUCCAGAAGCCAGAAAAGCUUGACUUUAGAAAGACCUCACAUCAUGGAAAAGUUAUGUCUCCAGUAACAAAUGACAUUUUCUACACUGAUGGGUGACAUCCUCAGCAUAUUGCUCAUACGACAUAGAUGCUUCCAGGAUUUGUAAGGUGCCAGAACAGAAGGAAAAAUGAGAUAAGAGUGAACAGAACAACCGCACGGAGACCAAGACGGAAGAGGCAAGUGAAAAUAUUGAGAUAUCACUGUUUUAUGGAGAACUUCUAGAAAAUGAGUUUACUUUCUCUUGUUCUUGGACAUUCUUCCAUAGUGAUAUGGAUAGGGAAUACUUGAGAUUUCACUUGAGUCUGAGAAUAGUUAUUUGAAUUAGAGUUUAUUUACUUUUUCUGUUAUUUGGAAAACAAAUGCACCAAGAAAGGUGCUAUGCACUGAGAAUACUAAAAAAGGAUAAGAAAUUUGUUCAUCUUAAAGGACAAGAGGGGACUCAUACAGCUUAAACAAGUGAUAACUGUCACUAUACAGUGAGGUGAAUAAUGUGAUGGGAGUGCUUUGGGCAUAUGGUAAAUGUCGUUUAAUUAACUUAUUGUAGUUUAGAGAGAGAAGUCAAAAAGAGAUUCUUGGCAAAGUACGUAAGGUUUAGAGUGAUAAAUAUAAGAAAAUUUUGAAUUAAUCGAAGGAGAUGGAAGUAGAUUUGGGAGAGGUUGCCCUGAGAGAGGUUCGUGGGCAGGAUAUAAUUGAGGAUUUUUAAAGCUAUUAUCUUAUUUUCCACAAUAUUUCAUUAUAAGGGUUAAAAGUUCCAAAAAUCUGUGAAGAGAAUUCUCUUUUUCACAGAGAAAAUUCCUGAUCACUGCUGAUUUUUAGCGAUAAUCCCAUGGCAAAAGUAAUUCUUCAUUCUGUAUUACUGGAAUGUGUGUGUGUGUGUGUGUGUGCGUGAGAGAGAGAGAGAGAGAGAGAGAGAGACACACACAGAGACCUACCAGUGAAUGCUGAUAUGACCAGAGGAGAAGGAAGCUUCUAUAAUGUUGGCAGGCCAUGGAAGGCAUCAUUUCUAACUCACCACUGGGGAUACAGUGGUGUUCCCUGCCACUUCUUUGGGUCAGUUUUAGGUAGGAGACAAUGAAGAGUAAUCCCUGACAUUGUGGAGCCUCCAGAUGAGGAGAGAAUAUGAAUGAGUCAUUACAAAUUUGGAAUGUGCAUGUGUAUGUAGAUGUGCAUGUAUGUAUGUACAUGUAUGUCAAUACACAUUCAUAAAUAAAUACAUGUGAUUUCUUAUAGGGCCCUGAAUUUACCUAAUUGUGGGAGCAGACUUAAGCAGCUCUGUUAAGGCUGAUGCUGGAACUUGAGGUCUCUAGGGCAGGUGCCUGAAAUGGCAAAAUGGAUUUAAAGCAGGAGAGAGAGAGAACAAGCUGGAGACUUGAGUCAGAGCCCAAGAGGCUGGGCUGAAACCCAUGUCACUCUUUGGUUGCCUUGGCCAUUGGUAGUAGGGGGUCCUGCAGAGUCCAGGGCUGCAGAGACCAGGGCUCCUCAUCCCAGAGCCCAGUACACAUGCUUGACCUGAAAGUUGAAGAAGCUGCAGGAGGAUGAAGGGGAAGCUGGAUCAGCUUACAGAACAGGCUGCUGGUCAUGCAAAGGAGGAGAGCCAAUAAUUGUCAACAACGCAUGUGAGAGCAACAACACAGCUGCCUCUUCACUUCUGCCCUCCUGAUCUCUCAUAAGAACCUCUUUUGUGCCUCACCCUAAUUGAAAGCUUAAUGGAAAAAGAAUCCUAGGAUAUAAAGUUUAGCAGAAUUGAAUUAAAAACAUGUUACAAAGCCACACAGAAAUGUUAGAAAGCAGACUCAUGGUCAUGGCAGCAAGAGAGUUGUCAAUGAGAGGGCACUGGGAUGCUGGUCAUGUCUUUUCUUUUUCCAACUGCACCUGCAGCAUUCAUACCUUCCUGGUCCAGGGAUGGAAUCUGCACCACAGUAGUGACAACACUGGGUCAUUAACUUCUAGGCCAGAAGGGAAAUCCUGUCCCAUUAAAAAAAAAAAACAAAUCUGGAUUCUGGGUUCAUUUUGUGAACAUUCUUAAAGGGAUGUCCUUAUGAUUUUGCAUCUUCUCUGUGUAGGUAGUACUUCAAUAAAAAGUAAAAUAAGUCGAUAAAAAAUUCCCGGUAAUCACCAACAUGGUGAACAUUAUCCAUGAGUGAGAACAAAUAUUCUGAAGGCUGACCUAACAAGGGGCUCAGGAAGGGCUACCUUGUAUGGUUCACUUUUAAGAUGAGACUGAAAUGGAGUCCACUCUUUGGAUGCAGAUGGUAGACAGAACUAUUCAGAAGAAGAGUGAAAGUGCACGAGGAGCCCAGCUGAAUUGAGAACAGUGAGACAGGAGGGAGAAAUGAGGCUUACAGAAGAUCCAGAGACCAAAUAAUGGUGUCUCAUUCUGCUCAGGCUGCCCUACAGAAUACCAUGGCUGUGUGGCUUAAAUAACAUACUUUUCUCACAGUUCUCCAAAGUAGAAGUCCAAGAUCAGGGCUGCAGGUGGUUACCUUCUCUCCGUGCAUUCACAUGGACUUUGCUUUGGGCCUAUUAGAUUAUGACCCACCCUUAUGAUCUCCACUAGCCUUAAUUUCCUCCUCAAAGCACUAUCUCCAAAUACAGCUGUAUUGGGGUUUAGGGCUUCAACAUAUAAUUUCUGAGGCAGACAGUUUUUUUUUUCUAACAAAUGGAGAGCUCUGUGUGAUGCAUAAAAUACUUUUUGCUCUGUCUUAAGUAUAAGAUUGUGCUUAAAACUUUUAUGAGUGGGAGUGACUUCAUGAGGUUUUAAAAGACCACUCUGUUUGCAGACUGGAGGGGGUGAAAGAGUGAGGACAAGGAGAUCUAUUAAAGGAAGUUGAAGUGUUCCAGGACAGAGGAAGGGAGUGGGUGCUUAGAUUAAAUGGAUCAAAGAGUGUUGUGAAGCGGCUACAAACAAUGCAGAAAAACUUGGAUAUGAAUCCAGGCUCUGCAUUUACUAGGUGAUACUUUGGGGCAAUUUUUGCUUAAGGUACGUUUCAAGUUUUGCAUCUGCAAAGUAAAGAUCAUAAUAAAAGGCCCUCCAUACAAUGUCAAAGGUUAGGCUCCUUGAGAUACAGAAACUGACAGAACUGGUGCAGGGAGUUUAUUGGAGAGUUUGUAGGGGUAAAAGAAGCAGAAUUGGGCAGGGGACGGGUUUAAGUGUAAUAGAGUCAUAGCAAAGGUCUCUGCCAAUUUUAAUGGGAGUAUUGGAGCAGGAUGGUCUUCCUCCCACUGGAAUCCUUUCAAAUUGAGGUGGCAGGGUUUGUGUUUGAACUUGUGCACUGAUCAAGCAUGGGGAAGGACUGGAGUUCCCAUCAUGGCUCAGUGGUUAACUAAUUCGACUAGGAACCAUGAGAUUGCGGGUUCAGUCUGUGGCCUUGCUCAGUGGGUUAAGGAUCCAGCAUUGCCGUGAGCUGUGGUGUAGGUCGCAGAUAUGGCUCAGACCUGGCAUUGCUGUGGCUCUGGCUCUGGCCAGCAGCUACAGCUCCGAUUAGACCACUAGCCAGGACACCUCUAUAUGCUGCGAGUGCAGCCCUAGAAAAUACAAAAAAAAAAAAAAAAAAAA